UACGGGGGGAGCAAGCGUUGUUCGGAUUUACUGGGCGUAAAGGGCGCGUAGGCGGCCACCGCAAGUCGAUUGUGAAAUCUCCGGGCUUAACCCGGAAAGGUCAGCCGAUACUGCGGGGCUAGAGUGCAGAAGGGGCAACUGGAAUUCUCGGUGUAGCGGUGAAAUGCGUAGAUAUCGAGAGGAACACCUGCGGCGAAGGCGGGUUGCUGGGCUGACACUGACGCUGAGGCGCGAAAGCUAGGGGAGCGAACGGG
This 254-nucleotide ribosomal RNA is filed under the name uncultured bacterium. RNAcentral's name for it is "partial 16S ribosomal RNA". It matches the Rfam family "Bacterial small subunit ribosomal RNA", at positions 524 to 776 of the family's 1533-position model. The record is from RNAcentral.